UAGCAAUUAUAAAAUUUGGUGAGCCAC
Molecule: small RNA, 27 nt
Filed under: Bombyx mori (domestic silkworm)
Lineage: Eukaryota; Metazoa; Arthropoda; Insecta; Lepidoptera; Bombycidae
Description: ovarian small RNA-22232
Source: RNAcentral